UCCUGAGAGACGAUACCAUCCGCAGGGC
RNAcentral lists this small RNA (28 nucleotides) under Bombyx mori (domestic silkworm). RNAcentral describes it as "ovarian small RNA-27903". The record is from RNAcentral. Lineage: Eukaryota; Metazoa; Arthropoda; Insecta; Lepidoptera; Bombycidae.